AUUGAACGCUGGCGGCAGGCUUAACACAUGCAAGUCGAACGGAACCUUCGGGUUUAGUGGCGAACGGGUGAGUAAUACCUAGGAAUCUGCCUAUUAGUGGGGGAUAACGGCUCGAAAGGGUCGCUAAUACCGCAUACGUCCUACGGGAGAAAGAGGGGGAUCUUCGGACCUCUUGCUAAUAGAUGAGCCUAGGCCGGAUUAGCUAGUUGGUAGGGUAAAGGCCUACCAAGGCGACGAUCCGUAGCUGGUCUGAGAGGAUGAUCAGCCACACUGGAACUGAGACACGGUCCAGACUCCUACGGGAGGCAGCAGUGGGGAAUAUUGGACAAUGGGGGCAACCCUGAUCCAGCCAUGCCGCGUGAGUGAAGAAGGCCU
Molecule: ribosomal RNA, 375 nt
Filed under: uncultured bacterium
Lineage: Bacteria
Description: bacterial SSU rRNA
Rfam family: Bacterial small subunit ribosomal RNA
Source: RNAcentral